This 429-nucleotide ribosomal RNA is filed under the name bacterium. RNAcentral's name for it is "partial 16S ribosomal RNA". It matches the Rfam family "Bacterial small subunit ribosomal RNA", at positions 355 to 776 of the family's 1533-position model. The record is from RNAcentral.
UGGGGAAUAUUGGACAAUGGGCGAAAGCCUGAUCCAGCCAUGCCGCGUGUGUGAAGAAGGUCUUCGGAUUGUAAAGCACUUUAAGUUGGGAGGAAGGGCAGUAAGCUAAUACCUUGCUGUUUUGACGUUACCGACAGAAUAAGCACCGGCUAACUCUGUGCCAGCAGCCGCGGUAAUACAGAGGGUGCAAGCGUUAAUCGGAAUUACUGGGCGUAAAGCGCGCGUAGGUGGUUCGUUAAGUUGGAUGUGAAAUCCCCGGGCUCAACCUGGGAACUGCAUCCAACACUGGCGAGCUAGAGUAUGGUAGAGGGUGGUGGAAUUUCCUGUGUAGCGGUGAAAUGCGUAGAUAUAGGAAGGAACACCAGUGGCGAAGGCGACCACCUGGACUGAUACUGACACUGAGGUGCGAAAGCGUGGGGAGCAAACAGG